CUUACAUUUAUUUCGAUAAAAAAAUUGCGUUAUAGACAAAUAAACAUCACUAAAGUAAGCUUUCCCAUAAAUUAUUUGACAAAUAAGUUUUAGCUACCUUGCCGUACAAGUUGCAGAAAACACGGUGAAGAUUAUCUUCGACAAUUAUUUAUAAUUCGAUAAAUAAGGGCAUAUAAAAGGAUCUAGGUGCGUGGUUUAAAUUCGCCGGCAUGAUUUUACACAGAAAUGUCAGAGAUAAAGUAUAAAAAUCAAAUUCUGGCUGCAAUAGAUCAUUUGCGCUCUCGAAAAUCGCGUCCAGAUGCAAACAGGAUUUGUAAGUUUAUGCUGAAGUGUUAUAAAGUACCACCAAAAGAUACAAAAGCAGAUCUAAAGCGUUGUUUAAAAAGAAAAAAGUAUAUUUAAAGUUGACUAUAAAGAUAAUGUAAGCUACAGGAACGCUGCGAAGUGGCGAAAAAAAUCCAACAAAAAUACUAGUAUGGCGUCUGCUAUUGGUACAAGUGAGCGUGUAGAAUCAUAACAUCAGCUAUAGCUACUCUAAUUUAUCAAGAUCAAAGUUACUUAGAAAAUGGGAUUGCAUUUGAGGAUCUUAUUAAAGCUGCAGCAUCACAAGAGUCAAAAUAUUCUAAGAAACAACUAGAAGUUAUCGUCAACAAGGAGUUGUCGUCUGGCAGCCUUGUAAAGUUGCAAAAUGGUAAUUUGGCUCUGGGUCCAGCUGAUCAUGAUGGUGAUAGUUCUGACAGUUUUAAAUUUGAAUGUGUGGAUUCCAAUACUAAGAUGACUUCUUCUGCAAACUCGUCAUGUAGAUCAUCCCCUCAAAGAAUGAGAGGCAGGCCCAAAAAACGUGGUGGUGGCGCUGGUAGCAGUGGACCUAGCAGUAGCACUACCAGGAAUGCCGGUGUAAGAGUAGGGGAAAGACGUAAAAUGGCCAAGAAAGUGUUUGAUCCAUCAGAUAACAAUGUACCCAGCAAAAGGAAACGAGGGAGACCAGUGGGUUCUUUAAAUAAAAGUACUAUUAAGAAGAGGCUGAUGAUUGCUGGUCAUAUAAAAGAAGAAGGUACAACAUUGUCAGAAAGUCAAUUAUCUUUUGAUGGGAGUGGUGAUGAAAUAGAACAGGAUGACUCCCUUCCACAUGAAGAGUCAGGGGGAGUGUGCUCUGUUUGUCGAAUUCAAAACCUCGAGGAUCAAAUGACAGAUUAAUAGAAUGCAGAGAUUGUAACAAUAAAGCACAUUUGCGUUGCCUACAAUCGGGUUCGGGAAUUCUAAAGCCUCGUCCAGACAACACGUGGCAAUGUCCACAUUGCAAGACAUGUGUUGUUUGUUGCGAAACAAAUGAUGCUGGUAUUCUCACGGUGUGCAGUAUAUGUUCAGACGCUUAUCACGCACUUUGUCACGCUCCUAGAAUACCAGAGAGACAUAUAGCCUGGGACCAGUGGGAGUGCCAUAACUGUCUAGAAUUCCGGCCGGCUGCAGUUGGCUCGCCUGCAAUAAUACCAAGGAAUAUUGAAUACAUAGCUCAAAACUCACCAUCUUUAGAUCCUUUCUUAAAACCACACGAAUUAGAUAGAGCACCAUCAAAGUUGUCAGAAGAUACUCCUAUAGAUCCAAAUAUACCUGAUAUAACAAAUUGGACUACAGAUGACGUGUUUCAAUAUUUUUCAAAACAUCAUCCUGAGGCUGCACCAAUAUUGAAAGAACAGGAAUUCGAUGGACCAGCUCUAUGUAUGGCACGCCGCGCCGACAUCGUUAGAGGGCUCGGGCUUCCCCUAGGACCAGCAUUAUCGUUAUAUAGUAUAGUAGUGAAACUACAGACAAGAAUAGAUGAUUGGACUAUGUGUUGGGGUUAAAAUAUAAUAUUGUAAGUGCUGAAAAUAGGAAUUCAUAGUGCCAGUGUGCAAUUCAUCUAUCAACUUUUGAAAUAAACUGGACAUCUUUUCAAAACCGUGGGAUAUCAAUAUAGUGGCUUAGAUAAUAUAUUCGAUAGACAGUUAUCUGUAUUUAGUUAUUCUAACCGAAAAAAUAAUGUUUUUGUAACCAGAUAUUAAAACCCUUAGACAAUAUAUAAA
RNA transcript from Manduca sexta (tobacco hornworm), 2063 nucleotides. RefSeq lists it as uncharacterized. NCBI's taxonomy places the organism in Eukaryota, Metazoa, Arthropoda, Insecta, Lepidoptera, Sphingidae. The record is from RefSeq and is a predicted model, not a curated record. The transcript has 7 exons.